RNAcentral lists this ribosomal RNA (497 nucleotides) under uncultured bacterium. RNAcentral describes it as "partial 16S ribosomal RNA". It matches the Rfam family "Bacterial small subunit ribosomal RNA", at positions 28 to 507 of the family's 1533-position model. The record is from RNAcentral.
GAUGAACGCUGGCGGCGUGCCUAAUACAUGCAAGUCGAGCGAACAGACGAGGAGCUUGCUCCUCUGACGUUAGCGGCGGACGGGUGAGUAACACGUGGAUAACCUACCUAUAAGACUGGGAUAACUUCGGGAAACCGGAGCUAAUACCGGAUAAUAUAUUGAACCGCAUGGUUCAAUAGUGAAAGACGGUUUUGCUGUCACUUAUAGAUGGAUCCGCGCCGCAUUAGCUAGUUGGUAAGGUAACGGCUUACCAAGGCGACGAUGCGUAGCCGACCUGAGAGGGUGAUCGGCCACACUGGAACUGAGACACGGUCCAGACUCCUACGGGAGGCAGCAGUAGGGAAUAUUCCGCAAUGGGCGAAAGCCUGACGGAGCAACGCCGCGUGAGUGAUGAAGGUCUUCGGAUCGUAAAACUCUGUUAUUAGGGAAGAACAAAUGUGUAAGUAACUAUGCACGUCUUGACGGUACCUAAUGAGAAAGCCACGGCUAACUACGUG